GUUUCUAAUGGAUGGUGACCCUCUGUGUGACAACAGCCCCACUGUCCUGCACCCACACAGGUCACUGGAAAAAGUCUUUUACAGGACUUGUUGGUGCCUGCUGUACCUCCAUCCUAGGAGAGAGGGAUGCUUCAGUGAGGCAGUGUGACACAGAGUGUUUCAUUCUUCCUUGUCAGCGAGGUUGUUUGCCCAGGACCAUCUGUGCCGCUCAGAUUACCCUGCUCCGGGUCAAGCGGUCACCGAGGGACCAUUUCCCACACCUCACUUAACGCUCCUAGGCCUGGACACAGUUCCAAUUUUCUGGAGGUGAGAGAGGGAAGAGCAGAAUUUUUGAAUGAAUUACGGUGCCUGGGGCACCAGCUGUUGCAGAUGGGAGUUUUCAAGGCCCAAUUCGUUUCUCAGAAGAAUCUCCUUAGACCCCUAAAGUGAUAUCAAAACCUGAG
This is a long non-coding RNA of Empidonax traillii (willow flycatcher), 443 nucleotides long. RefSeq lists it as uncharacterized. Lineage: Eukaryota; Metazoa; Chordata; Aves; Passeriformes; Tyrannidae. The record is from RefSeq and is a predicted model, not a curated record. The transcript is spliced from 4 exons.